RNAcentral lists this ribosomal RNA (450 nucleotides) under uncultured bacterium. RNAcentral's name for it is "partial 16S ribosomal RNA". It matches the Rfam family "Bacterial small subunit ribosomal RNA", at positions 354 to 796 of the family's 1533-position model. The record is from RNAcentral.
GUGGGGAAUUUUGGACAAUGGGGGCAACCCUGAUCCAGCAAUGCCGCGUGCAGGAAGAAGGCCUUCGGGUUGUAAACUGCUUUUGUACGGAACGAAACGGUCCUGGUUAAUACCUGGGGCUAAUGACGGUACCGUAAGAAUAAGCACCGGCUAACUACGUGCCAGCAGCCGCGGUAAUACGUAGGGUGCAAGCGUUAAUCGGAAUUACUGGGCGUAAAGCGUGCGCAGGCGGUUUUGUAAGACAGGCGUGAAAUCACCUGGCUCAACCUGGGAAUGGCGCUUGUGACUGCAAGGCUGGAGUGCGGCAGAGGGGGAUGGAAUUCCGCGUGUAGCAGUGAAAUGCGUAGAUAUGCGGAGGAACACCGAUGGCGAAGGCAAUCCCCUGGGCCUGCACUGACGCUCAUGCACGAAAGCGUGGGGAGCAAACAGGAUUAGAAACCCCUGUAGUCC